UUUAUGGAGACUUUGAAGUAUAUACUAAUUUGGGCACUUUGUAUAUACCGAGUCAGUAGUGCAACCGACAUU
This 72-nucleotide non-coding RNA is filed under the name Clostridium amazonitimonense. RNAcentral describes it as "Cyclic di-GMP-II riboswitch". The stretch from base 7 to 69 matches the Rfam family "Cyclic di-GMP-II riboswitch aptamer", at positions 11 to 74 of the family's 84-position model. The record is from RNAcentral. Lineage: Bacteria; Bacillati; Bacillota; Clostridia; Eubacteriales; Clostridiaceae.